UACGUAGGGUGCAAGCGUUGUCCGGAAUUAUUGGGCGUAAAGAGCUCGUAGGCGGUCUGUCGCGUCUGCUGUGAAAACUCAGGGCUUAACCCUGAGCUUGCAGUGGGUACGGGCAGACUAGAGUGCGGUAGGGGAGACUGGAAUUCCUGGUGUAGCGGUGAAAUGCGCAGAUAUCAGGAGGAACACCGAUGGCGAAGGCAGGUCUCUGGGCCAUAACUGACGCUGAGAAGCGAAAGCAUGGGGAGCGAACAGG
This 253-nucleotide ribosomal RNA is filed under the name uncultured bacterium. Its description in RNAcentral is "partial 16S ribosomal RNA". It matches the Rfam family "Bacterial small subunit ribosomal RNA", at positions 524 to 776 of the family's 1533-position model. The record is from RNAcentral.